This 465-nucleotide ribosomal RNA is filed under the name Triticum aestivum (bread wheat). Its description in RNAcentral is "partial small subunit ribosomal RNA". The record is from RNAcentral. Lineage: Eukaryota; Viridiplantae; Streptophyta; Magnoliopsida; Poales; Poaceae.
AUGCGUGAUCAGGUCGGCAUCGACCUGGACGGCUUCCCCCUCGACCACGAGUUCCCGGACGACUACGGUCUGGAGGAAGAGGACGAGUGCGACAUCGACGUGGAGCCUUUGUUCGAGGACGAGCUCGCCAACCAAGCCGCCAGUCCUAAGCCGAAGCGCAAGAGCAAGCGUACGAAGGCGUACACGGUGGCCAAGGACAAGCUUCUUUGCGAGUGUUGGCGAGACAUUGGACAAGACCCGAAGACGGGCACCGAGCAAAAGCAUUCAACCUUUUGGAUUCAUGUCCACCGAGAGUUUCAUGAGCGCAAGAAGUUUCCGCAUUACCAAUUUGUGAGCACGCGCGGGUGGGUCUCCAUUUCCAAGCGGUGUAGAGUGAUCCAACAAGAGUGCAACAAGUUUUGCGCCACUCUUCAGAGCGUCAAGGCCCGCCCCGUGAGCGGUGAUACAUAUCCAACGUAUCUAUAA